AGAGUUUGAUCCUGGCUCAGGAUGAACGCUGGCGGCGUGCCUAACACAUGCAAGUUGAGCGAUUUACUUCGGUAAAGAGCGGCGGACGGGUGAGUAACGCGUGGGUAACCUACCCUGUACACACGGAUAACAUACCGAAAGGUAUGCUAAUACGGGAUAAUAUAUUUGAGAGGCAUCUCUUGAAUAUCAAAGGUGAGCCAGUACAGGAUGGACCCGCGUCUGAUUAGCUAGUUGGUAAGGUAACGGCUUACCAAGGCGACGAUCAGUAGCCGACCUGAGAGGGUGAUCGGCCACAUUGGAACUGAGACACGGUCCAAACUCCUACGGGAGGCAGCAGUGGGGAAUAUUGCACAAUGGGCGAAAGCCUGAUGCAGCAACGCCGCGUGAGUGAUGAAGGCCUUCGGGUCGUAAAACUCUGUCCUCAAGGAAGAUAAUGACGGUACUUGAGGAGGAAGCCCCGGCUAACUACGUGCCAGCAGCCGCGGUAAUACGUAGGGGGCUAGCGUUAUCCGGAUUUACUGGGCGUAAAGGGUGCGUAGGCGGUCUUUCAAGUCAGGAGUGAAAGGCUACGGCUCAACCGUAGUAAGCUCUUGAAACUGGGAGACUUGAGUGCAGGAGAGGAGAGUGGAAUUCCUAGUGUAGCGGUGAAAUGCGUAGAUAUUAGGAGGAACACCAGUUGCGAAGGCGGCUCUCUGGACUGUAACUGACGCUGAGGCACGAAAGCGUGGGGAGCAAACAGGAUUAGAUACCCUGG
Molecule: ribosomal RNA, 754 nt
Filed under: Clostridioides difficile P42
Lineage: Bacteria; Bacillati; Bacillota; Clostridia; Peptostreptococcales; Peptostreptococcaceae
Description: bacterial SSU rRNA
Rfam family: Bacterial small subunit ribosomal RNA
Source: RNAcentral